Molecule: small nucleolar RNA, 81 nt
Organism: Callithrix jacchus (white-tufted-ear marmoset)
Lineage: Eukaryota; Metazoa; Chordata; Mammalia; Primates; Cebidae
Source: Ensembl
CUCCUUUUGUAGUUCAUAAGUGUGAUGAUUGGAUGUUCAUGCUUGUGUGUGCCAUGUGUCUCCCUCUAAAGCUUUCUGACA